RNAcentral lists this ribosomal RNA (975 nucleotides) under uncultured bacterium. Its description in RNAcentral is "bacterial SSU rRNA". It matches the Rfam family "Bacterial small subunit ribosomal RNA", at positions 505 to 1501 of the family's 1533-position model. The record is from RNAcentral.
GUGCCAGCCGCCGCGGUAAUACGUAGGUUGCAAGCGUUACCCAGUUUAUUGGGCGUAAAGGGUCUGUAGGCGGUUUCUUAAGUCCUCUUUUAAAGACUUUGGCUUUACUGAAGGAAAGGAGGGGAUACUGAGAGACUUGAGUGAUACCGAGGCUACAGGAAUUUAUAGUGUAGGGGUAAAAUCCAUGGAUACUAUAAAGAACACCAAGGGCGAAGGCUGGUAGUUAGGUGCAUACUGACGCUGAGAGACGAAAGCUAGGGUAGCAAAUCAGAUUAGAGACCUGAGUAGUCCUGGCCGUAAACGAUGUCUGCUAAUCCCGCGAUUUUUUGUGGGAUGCAAGCUAACGCGUUAAGCAGACCGCCUGGGGAGUACAGCCGCAAGGCCGAAACUCAAACGAACUGGCGGGGAGGCGCACAACCAGUGGAGCAUGUGGUUCAAUUCGAUACGGAGCGAUAAACCUCACCUGGACUUGAAAUGUACCUGCACUCCGAUAGAAAUAUUGGAGGCCUUCGAGGGUGGUACACAGCUGUUGCAUGGCUGUCGUCAGCUCGUGACGUGAGUUGUUCUCUUAAGUGAGGCAACGAGCGCAACCCCCAUCCCGUGUUACUAUGUCACGGGAGACUGCUCAGCAUUAUUUUUGUUGGGAGGAAGGAGGGGACGACGUCAAGUCAGCAUGAUGCUUAUGUCCGGGGCUACACGCAUCCUACAAUGACAUGUACAACGAGUCGCAAAACCGCGAGGUUAAGCCAAUCUCUUAAAACUUGUCUCAGUGGGGAUUGUAGUCUGAAACCCGACUGCAUGAACUUGGAAUUGGUAGUAAUCGCGGAUCAGCAGGCCGCGGUGAAUGCGUUCUCGCCUCUUGCACACACUGCCCGUCAAAUCAGCAAAGUUGAGGGCACCCAAAAUCUUUCCCGCGCGAGUGUGGAAGGCCUAAGGUGAAUUCAGCGAUGAGGGUUAAGUCGUAACAAGGUAACC